This 73-nucleotide transfer RNA is filed under the name Thermoplasmata archaeon. RNAcentral describes it as "tRNA-Gln". It matches the Rfam family "tRNA". Rfam says of the family: Transfer RNA (tRNA) molecules are approximately 80 nucleotides in length. Their secondary structure includes four short double-helical elements and three loops (D, anti-codon, and T loops). The record is from RNAcentral. Lineage: Archaea; Methanobacteriati; Thermoplasmatota; Thermoplasmata.
AGCCCGGUGGUGUAGCGGUCAAGCAUGCGGGCCUUUGGAGUCCGCGACGGCGGUUCGAAUCCGCCCCGGGCUA